CCUACGGGAGGCAGCAGUGAGGAAUAUUGGUCAAUGGGCUUACGCCUGAACCAGCCAAGUCGCGUGAGGGAAGACUGCCCUAUGGGUUGUAAACCUCUUUUGUCAGGGAGCAAUUGGCGCUACGUGUAGCGUUAUCGAGAGUACCUGAAGAAAAAGCAUCGGCUAACUCCGUGCCAGCAGCCGCGGUAAUACGGAGGAUGCGAGCGUUAUCCGGAUUUAUUGGGUUUAAAGGGUGCGUAGGCGGAAUGCCAAGUCAGCGGUAAAAUCGCGGGGCUCAACCUCGCUCCGCCGUUGAAACUGGGGUUCUUGGGGGGGAGAGAAGUAUGCGGGAUGCGGGGUGUAGCGGUGAAAUGCAU
This 356-nucleotide ribosomal RNA is filed under the name uncultured bacterium. RNAcentral describes it as "partial 16S ribosomal RNA". It matches the Rfam family "Bacterial small subunit ribosomal RNA", at positions 338 to 691 of the family's 1533-position model. The record is from RNAcentral.